This 465-nucleotide ribosomal RNA is filed under the name uncultured Klebsiella sp. Its description in RNAcentral is "bacterial SSU rRNA". It matches the Rfam family "Bacterial small subunit ribosomal RNA", at positions 338 to 795 of the family's 1533-position model. Lineage: Bacteria; Pseudomonadati; Pseudomonadota; Gammaproteobacteria; Enterobacterales; Enterobacteriaceae. The record is from RNAcentral.
CCUACGGGCGGCAGCAGUGGGGAAUAUUGCACAAUGGGCGCAAGCCUGAUGCAGCCAUGCCGCGAGUGUGAAGAAGGCCUUCGGGUUGUAAAGCACUUUCAGCGGGGAGGAAGGCGGUGAGGUUAAUAACCUCAUCGAUUGACGUUACCCGCAGAAGAAGCACCGGCUAACUCCGUGCCAGCAGCCGCGGUAAUACGGAGGGUGCAAGCGUUAAUCGGAAUUACUGGGCGUAAAGCGCACGCAGGCGGUCUGUCAAGUCGGAUGUGAAAUCCCCGGGCUCAACCUGGGAACUGCAUUCGAAACUGGCAGGCUAGAGUCUUGUAGAGGGGGGUAGAAUUCCAGGUGUAGCGGUGAAAUGCGUAGAGAUCUGGAGGAAUACCGGUGGCGAAGGCGGCCCCCUGGACAAAGACUGACGCUCAGGUGCGAAAGCGUGGGGAGCAAACAGGAUUAGAUACCCCAGUAGUC